AUGAACGCUGGCGGCGUGCCUAAUACAUGCAAGUCGAGCGAACGGACGAGAAGCUUGCUUCUCUGAUGUUAGCGGCGGACGGGUGAGUAACACGUGGAUAACCUACCUAUAAGACUGGGAUAACUUCGGGAAACCGGAGCUAAUACCGGAUGAUAUUUUGAACCGCAUGGUUCAAAAGUGAAAGACGGUCUUGCUGUCACUUAUAGAUGGAUCCGCGCUGCAUUAGCUAGUUGGUAAGGUAACGGCUUACCAAGGCAACGAUGCAUAGCCGACCUGAGAGGGUGAUCGGCCACACUGGAACUGAGACACGGUCCAGACUCCUACGGGAGGCAGCAGUAGGGAAUCUUCCGCAAUGGGCGAAAGCCUGACGGAGCAACGCCGCGUGAGUGAUGAAGGUCUUCGGGUCGUAAAACUCUGUUAUUAGGGAAGAACAUAUGUGUAAGUAACUGUGCACAUCUUGACGGUACCUAAGCAGAAAGCCACGGCUAACUACGU
RNAcentral lists this ribosomal RNA (495 nucleotides) under uncultured bacterium. RNAcentral's name for it is "partial 16S ribosomal RNA". It matches the Rfam family "Bacterial small subunit ribosomal RNA", at positions 29 to 506 of the family's 1533-position model. The record is from RNAcentral.